Molecule: ribosomal RNA, 279 nt
Filed under: uncultured bacterium
Lineage: Bacteria
Description: partial 16S ribosomal RNA
Rfam family: Bacterial small subunit ribosomal RNA
Source: RNAcentral
UGCCAGCCGCCGCGGUAAUACGGAGGGGGCAAGCGUUGCUCGGGAUUACUGGGCGUAAAGCGAGCGUAGGCGGUUAAUCAAGUUGGAGGUGAAAGCCCAGAGCUUAACUCUGGAACUGCCAUCAAAACUGGUUAACUAGAGAUUGGUAGAGGAAAAUGGAAUUCCUAGUGUAGAGGUGAAAUUCGUAGAUAUUGGGAAGAACACCAGUGGCGAAGGCGAUUUUCUGGGCCAAUUCUGACGCUGAGGUUCGAAAGCGUGGGUAGCAAACAGGAUUAGAUA